This 468-nucleotide ribosomal RNA is filed under the name uncultured bacterium. Its description in RNAcentral is "partial 16S ribosomal RNA". It matches the Rfam family "Bacterial small subunit ribosomal RNA", at positions 28 to 507 of the family's 1533-position model. The record is from RNAcentral.
AACGAACGCUGGCGGCGUGCUUAACACAUGCAAGUCGAACGGAAAGGCCCUGCUUUUGUGGGGUGCUCGAGUGGCGAACGGGUGAGUAACACGUGAGUAACCUGCCCUUGACUUUGGGAUAACUUCAGGAAACUGGGGCUAAUACCGGAUAGGAGCUCCUGCUGCAUGGUGGGGGUUGGAAAGUUUCGGCGGUUGGGGAUGGACUCGCGGCUUAUCAGCUUGUUGGUGGGGUAGUGGCUUACCAAGGCUUUGACGGGUAGCCGGCCUGAGAGGGUGACCGGCCACAUUGGGACUGAGAUACGGCGCAGACUCCUACGGGAGGCAGCAGUGGGGAAUAUUGCACAAUGGGCGGAAGCCUGAGGCAGCAACGCCGCGUGCGGGAUGACGGCCUUCGGGUUGUAAACCGCUUUCGCCUGUGACGAAGCGUGAGUGACGGUAAUGGGUAAAGAAGCACCGGCUAACUACGUG